GGCUGGUCCGAGUGCAGCAGUGUUUACAACUAAUUGAUCACAACCAGUUACAGAUUUCUUUGUUCCUUCUCCACUCCCACUGCUUCACUUGACUAGCCUUUA
Molecule: Y RNA, 102 nt
Organism: Callithrix jacchus (white-tufted-ear marmoset)
Lineage: Eukaryota; Metazoa; Chordata; Mammalia; Primates; Cebidae
Rfam family: Y RNA
About the family: Y RNAs are components of the Ro ribonucleoprotein particle (Ro RNP), in association with Ro60 and La proteins. The Y RNAs and Ro60 and La proteins are well conserved, but the function of the Ro RNP is not known.
Source: Ensembl